AUUGGUUAGAGCGCGCGCUUGAUAAGCGUGAGGUCGGAGGUUCAAGUCCUCCCAGGCCCACCACUUCGCAAUCCGCAAGGAUUGUCGGAUCUCCUCGAUAUCCGUCGGGAAACACUAUCAGGGGCCGUAGCUCAGCUGGGAGAGCGCCUGCUUUGCAAGCAGGAUGUCGUCGGUUCGAUCCCGUCCGGCUCCACCAACCAUCUUCUGUGAAGGUGGGGCGUGUCGAGUAGAGGAUGAUCGCCCGCGGUCAGUCAUUCGAAAAAGAGUUUGCGGCGCGCUUCGUGCUCUCCGCCUGUUCUGUUUGACAUCGUAAAGAGAAGAUUUGUUCGAACUUCACGGCUGCAAGGCUGUGAUUUGUCGCAAGGACGCUCAAUCCCUUGCCUAUGAUGGGUUUGCCUAACCGCGCCCUCGAACGGAUCUCGAGAAGCUGGUCUUUUUGUGCCAAUUCCAUUGAAGCAAGCCCCGCACAGGGUUUUGCUCAGGCGGCGAUCCUUCGGAUCGCGCAGAUGGGUAUUGGCAAUGAGAACGAUCAAGUGUCUUAAGGGCAAUUGGUGGAUGCCUUGGCAUGCACAGGCGAUGAAGGACGUGAUACGCUGCGAUAAGCUACGGGAGGUGCGAA
Molecule: unclassified non-coding RNA, 619 nt
Filed under: Mesorhizobium sp. LCM 3735
Lineage: Bacteria; Pseudomonadati; Pseudomonadota; Alphaproteobacteria; Hyphomicrobiales; Phyllobacteriaceae
Description: partial 16S-23S ribosomal RNA intergenic spacer
Rfam family: tRNA (bases 121-193)
Source: RNAcentral